AGAGCCACUGGACUGUGUGUUCUUGGAAGAACGAUCCGGACCUCUCGUCCAACAUCCACUCGAACACCCAGCACCGGCUUUGGGAGGCGCCUGGUGAGACCGCACCGCGCACCGCCCUCCCCGCCCCUCCGCCCGGGUGGCUGCCUCUGGAGGAGGGGGCGCACAGCACGGGGAGACCCGCUGAGGCCGGCUUCUCUGCUCCCGUUUGGUGGCUGAGCGGUGGCCCAGGGGGCUUGGCCGAUGCCAGCGGGAGCCAGUCAGGCUCAGCCAGGGCGAUCCUAGGGGCGCCUUCUCAGCACUCGGGCCCCUCCCCUCCCAGGCCGACGUCCCUCUCCUCUGAGCGGGGUCCCGUGGGCGGCCUGCCAGGCCGUGAAGACCCUGGAGCCUUCCUGUGGCCCCAACCUCAGCCCCUGUGCUCACCACCACCUUUGUGGCAGCCACAGGCCCCUGGUCUCCUCGGGGUGACCUCGCCCAGGGCGCAGGCUGCCUCCCCUGGCAGAAGCCGGUGGCUGGGGGUUGGAAAUACACAGACAUUUUUAAUGGAAGCAAAAUGGGGCAACGGCGUCACGGCCAUCAGGAACUGAGCUCAGAUUACCACUCCCUGAGGGAGGGACCCAGCAUCUCGCUUCCUGGGCGCCAGAACUGAGCCGGGGCAACAGGCAGCUUAACCCACCCGCUGGAGAGCCUGACGCUUCGAGGUCGGAGGUCAUGACAGGACCUGUCUGUCUCCAGGGCUGUCCUGAGGCUCACGGGGGCUCGUGCCUAGAAAGCAGCACAUCCGUGGGCGAUGACUCUGCUGAUUCUGGGACCACAGUUCCAUGUGCAGAGACGACAGGUCACCCCAGCGGGAGUGUCCCCAGCCUCCUCGCUCUGUGCGAGAGUCCCCAGCUCAUCCGGGGAAUUACCGACCACCUAAGAGCUGGAGGUGCCCAGAGCUGGGCCUUAGACACACUUUGGAAGCAGCUCCUGCAGGGGGCACUCUGAGCCCCCACCGGACCCCACCCUGCGAUCACUCCCAGCAGAAGGAGCCUGACUCUGUUCCUGGUCGGCCCUGAAGUCAUCAACACAGACCAACAUCCUAAGACACAAGCCGACCAGCUGAGGAGCCCGUGUGUGUGUGUGUGUGUGUGUGUGUGUGUGUGUGUGUGUGUCGCCGUGGGUCACAUGUAGCCGCUGAGCAGUGACGCAGGGCUAGUGACGUCCUCCAAGCAUAGAUUAUGCACCAGAUUUCAGCCCUUUAGUAUCAAAAAAAAUACAAAGAAGCUCAGGAACAACUAACUCCUUUAUGGUUAUUACAUUUUGAAAGGAUAGUCCUUAGCGCAUGUUGCGUUAAAUAAAAUAUACUAUUAAUCUCA
Molecule: long non-coding RNA, 1355 nt
Organism: Myotis myotis
Lineage: Eukaryota; Metazoa; Chordata; Mammalia; Chiroptera; Vespertilionidae
Exons: 4
Source: RefSeq, a predicted model, not a curated record